CCUACGGGAGGCAGCAGUGAGGAAUAUUGGUCAAUGGGCGUAAGCCUGUACCAGCCAAGCCGCGUGAGGGAUGAAGGUUCUAUGGAUCGUAAACCUCUUUUAUAAGGGAAUAAAGUGCGGGACUUGUCCCGGUUUGUAUGUACCUUAUGAAUAAGGAUCGGCUAACUCCGUGCCAGCAGCCGCGGUAAUACGGAGGAUCCGAGCGUUAUCCGGAUUUAUUGGGUGUAAAGGGUGCGUAGGCGGCCUUGUAAGUCAGAGGUGAAAGUCAGUGGCUCAACCAUAGGAUUGCCUUUGAAACUGGGAGGCUUGAGUAUGUUUGAGGCAGGCGGAAUGCGGGGUGUAGCGGUGAAAUGCUUAGAUAUAACGCGGAACCCCGAUGGCGAAGGCAGCCUGC
This 394-nucleotide ribosomal RNA is filed under the name uncultured bacterium. Its description in RNAcentral is "partial 16S ribosomal RNA". It matches the Rfam family "Bacterial small subunit ribosomal RNA", at positions 338 to 729 of the family's 1533-position model. The record is from RNAcentral.